GACGAACGCUGGCGGCGUGCUUAACACAUGCAAGUCGAACGGAAAGGCCCUGCUUUUGUGGGGUGCUCGAGUGGCGAACGGGGGAGUAACACGUGAGUAACCUGCCCUUGACUGUGGGAUAACUUCAGGAAACUGGGGCUAAUACCGGAUAGGAGCUCCUGCUGCAUGGUGGGGGUUGGAAAGUUUCGGCGGUUGGGGAUGGACUCGCGGCUUAUCAGCUUGUUGGUGGGGUAGUGGCUUACCAAGGCUAUGACGGGUAGCCGGCCUGAGAGGGUGACCGGCCACGUUGGGACUGAGAUACGGCCCAGACUCCUACGGGAGGCAGCAGUGGGGAAUAUUGCACAGUGGGCGGAAGCCUGAUGCAGCAACGCCGCGUGCGGGAUGACGGCCUUCGGGUUGUAAACCGCUUUCGCCUGUGACGAAGCGUGAGUGACGGUAAUGGGUAAAGAAGCACCGGCUAACUACGUG
RNAcentral lists this ribosomal RNA (468 nucleotides) under uncultured bacterium. Its description in RNAcentral is "partial 16S ribosomal RNA". It matches the Rfam family "Bacterial small subunit ribosomal RNA", at positions 28 to 507 of the family's 1533-position model. The record is from RNAcentral.